This 480-nucleotide ribosomal RNA is filed under the name Cryptosporidium sp. vole genotype IX. RNAcentral describes it as "SSU rRNA". It matches the Rfam family "Eukaryotic small subunit ribosomal RNA", at positions 514 to 1024 of the family's 1831-position model. Lineage: Eukaryota; Apicomplexa; Conoidasida; Eucoccidiorida; Cryptosporidiidae. The record is from RNAcentral.
AUGAGUUAAGUAUAAACCCCUUUACAAGUAUCAAUUGGAGGGCAAGUCUGGUGCCAGCAGCCGCGGUAAUUCCAGCUCCAAUAGCGUAUAUUAAAGUUGUUGCAGUUAAAAAGCUCGUAGUUGGAUUUCUGUUAAUAAUUUUAUAGUAUAUUUAACAUAUAUUAUAUAAUAUUAACAUAAUUCAUAUUACUAUUUUUAGUAUAUGAAAUUUUACUUUGAGAAAAUUAGAGUGCUUAAAGCAGGCAUAUGCCUUGAAUACUCCAGCAUGGAAUAAUAUAAAAGAUUUUUAUCUUUUUUAUAUUGGUUCUAAGAUAAAAAUAAUGAUUAAUAGGAACAGUUGGGGGCAUUUGUAUUUAACAGUCAGAGGUGAAAUUCUUAGAUUUGUUAAAGACAAACUAGUGCGAAAGCAUUUGCCAAGGAUGUUUUCAUUAAUCAAGAACGAAAGUUAGGGGAUCGAAGACGAUCAGAUACCGUCGUAGU